RNAcentral lists this ribosomal RNA (336 nucleotides) under Triticum aestivum (bread wheat). RNAcentral describes it as "partial small subunit ribosomal RNA". Lineage: Eukaryota; Viridiplantae; Streptophyta; Magnoliopsida; Poales; Poaceae. The record is from RNAcentral.
AUGCUCCCUCCCGCAUUCGUUUAUUUCCUUCCAAUUAUACCAGGAUUUUUUUCCAGCUUCUGUUCCUCAAAAAAUUUCUCACGAUCAAGGCCCCUGCCCUUCCUUAUCUACCCACAAAUCUCGUGCCCCUCUCCCAGGUCAGGUUCCGGAGCCGGGUCGUCGCCGCGGAGUACGUCGAUGCGGAGCCGGAGGGCGCGGAGGACCGGUGGGAGAGGUGGAACGGCAACGGCGAGGCCUUCGGCGACGGCUCGGGUGUGUGGCGCCUCACUGUGGGCCACUGGGGCGCCGGCGAGCAGGAGCCAGAGACGGAGGAGGUGCAUGAGUCCGACUUCCUGA